Molecule: long non-coding RNA, 4547 nt
Organism: Acinonyx jubatus (cheetah)
Lineage: Eukaryota; Metazoa; Chordata; Mammalia; Carnivora; Felidae
Exons: 3
Source: RefSeq, a predicted model, not a curated record
ACACACACACACACACACACACACACACACACACACACAGAAAAAGGAGCCGGGCCCAACCCAUAGCUGCUCAUCAGAAUCCAAAGACGCAUAGCUCCCAGCAAGCUCUCAGCCCAGUACGAAGGGCAUUUGUAAGAGGGUAACAGCAACCCACAGCAUAGUCCACUGCGAUGAAUGAACCAUCCAAUAUCCUCUCUGAAGAGAAAGAAACAACAAAGCCUCCUUCCUGGCUCACGCUCGCCGGCACAGAGCCCACGUGCAUCCUGCACGGGGAACAGCAAGCUUCAAAGAGAACCCCUGGCCUCAAGUCAAGACCUAAGAAAGUGUGACCAAGUGCACAGAUUACUAAGGAGCCUGUGCGCAUCUGGCAUCCCAAGAGUGUGAGUCCCAAACGUGGCUGCACUGCAAAAUCAUGGAAAGCACCGAAAAGUCACCCACUUACAAAUCGGCAUCAGAAUCUCUGGGGAUGGUGCCGAUAUUUUUUUCCCAAAGGGUGCUCAGGCACAGCCAAGUUUGGGAACCGCUACCCUGAGUAAGCAGAAAGUGGCAACAUGUUACCUUCUGACCACAGCAUGAACAGGAAGACCUCCCAGAAGAGACAGUUGUCACCCUACCUUUGAGGAAUGGAGAGGUCUGUAGAGGGAACUUCAGCAAAGGGCCCCCAUACUGAGGAGCCCCACCAAGACCAGGGUGACCUGUGCACAGGGUACUGGUUCCCUACAAAAAGCAGGUCGGCUGGAGCAGGUCCGUGGCGAGGCGAGAGGCUGGGACAGCUGGGGAGCGCCACGUCCCAUGGACUGGAGGAGGCAUAUUCCAGUCAAACUUGUCUUUCCUCUUCAAGGUCCAACUCAAGUGCGGUUGCUGCCAGGACCCCAGGGAUAAGAGUACAACAGCCCAACUGCUUUUAGGGCCAGUGAAGUCUAGAAUAGUCCACAGUGAUUUUAAUUAGAAGUUAUUAUUCAGCAAACAGAGAAAGUAUGAAACAUUUCACUUAAGAAAUAGGCUGGAACCUAAAGCUGGCAAAUUCCCUUCUCCUAUUCACGCCACUUUUUUGGCCUUGUGAGGGGGCGGCCCCACCUGAAGGUGAGAAGGCAGAAGACACCGUGAGCUCUACUCCCCAUCGUCUGAAAGCUCCCACUGCCACCACGCCACCAAGGAAGAAUCUGAAGGCAAUCUCUACGUCUCCAGCCUCACCCCAGCCUCACACUGUUCUUAAAGAACAGGACGACAAGCAGACCCCCUCUAGUUACAUGAGCCUCGUUUGUGACACCUCCUCCAUCCAGCCUGUCUAAAAUCUCUCCCCUCCCCACAUACCCUCCCCCAUCUCCCUUGGCAGUCUCUUGUCCUAUGGGCCCUCAUUUCUUAACGUUAUAGCUCUCUGGCCAUCCGGGGGAGAAAUAAAAAUGGAGCCUUUUGUACUGUGGAGUAAAUGUACUCAUGCUUCUCAGCUACAAAAGGUUUCCAACUGCAGCAGCUUUCACGGACUGAUUGUAGCAGGCAGGCAAUUUAGUAGACAUUGUGCAAUUGGGGAAUUACUCCAGGAAUAGCUGGAAAACCAAAUGAGAUGUCCCAGGAAACAUAGCAGCUUCUGGACAAAUGCAUUCGUCCUGCACUUGCUCCUGGCGCACGUGUGCCAAGCACUGGCCAAGUCCACGGCCGGGCCCUGCCUUUCGGGAGGGCCGACUUCAGACCGACCCACACAGGGACUCGGGCAGUUGGCUGUAUGGUAAGCACCAGGUUCGGGGUGCAGACGAGAAAUACUGCAGGGGUGACUGAGGGGGAAGAUCAUCAAGUAUGAAUUUUAAGCCAAGAAAAUACUUCUAUUGCUCACAGCUCUGGAACUGCCGGACUCUCUACGGAAGCAUGACUGGCAGGAAGCGGGCCGUGAACUCGCCCCGUGCAUCUCCAUGUUCCAUACGCCACCAUGGAUCACUCAUGGGAUGAGCUUGCCUAUCUACACAUGUUUCUGGGUAACCUCAGUAUUAAUCUUUCUCUUGUCCCCUCUCAGUACAUCCUCAGGUGAAAAGGCAGUUUUUAAAGCACUAACGAAAUCAAAAAUAAAUGUGAGAGAAUCGGUGCCUCGUCCCUGAAGGCUGGGAAUCGUCCAUGACUACCUGACAGAGAUGUGGUUCCAGAGGUUUCUCCAACACAGACUGCCUCCACAUCUGCAAGUCCAGUGUGGGCACUCUGAACACAUUUCCCAUAGAGACAACAUACAAAUCAGGGUUCACUGUUGGAGCAGGCUGACAGAGCUCCGUAUUAACUCACGUGGUACCAAAAGCAUAGUGCCAUCCUAUUGUUUCCAUAUUUUUACCGAGAUAUAAUUCCCACACAGUUCACCCUUUUAAAGUGUACAACUUAGUGGCUUUUAGCACACUCCCAAAGUUGGGCAACUAUCACCUGUAUCUAAUUUUAGAACAUUUUGUCACCCCCUGAAAAAAGCCUGUACCUCCAGCAACCAUUCCUCCCUCCUCCACAGGCCCCCGCCCCCACCACUCAGCUACUUUCUGUCUCUACAGAUUUGCCUACUGUGGCAUUUCAUAUAAAUGGAAUCAUCAAAUAUGUGGCCUUUUGUGUCUGGCUUCUUCCAUUUAGCUAACGUUUCCAAGGCUCAUAUAAGUCGUGACAUGUAUCACCCAUUUUUCAGAGGCCUUUUAACAGCUCCUACUUUGUACCUCAAAUGGAAUUCCAUGUCCAAGAAUUUAAAGAAAUAAUCAGAAAUGCACCAAAGGAUCUGUGUACAAGUGCAUAUCACAAUAUUACUUACGAUAGGAAAAUACGUUCAAUGUAGGGACUGGUUAAAUUUAACACACAUAUACGCUGAAAUACUAUGCAACAUUAAUACACAAGAUUUUAGAGGAUAUUACAAAUGAAAAGGCUCACUGUUAACUAAAGAAAGAAGGUUAAAAAACCGUAUUUUAUAAAAUGUAUUUGGUGGGAAUGACACUGGCCGAAAUUAUUACCAGUUAUCUUUGGGUAAUAGGAAUAUGGAUUGUUUUAAAUUUCCUAUUUACAUUUACAUACUUGAAAAUUUUCUUCAAUAACUGGAUCAGAAAAGUGUUUUGUCUUUUUAUUUUAAAUUUUUUUUAAUGUUUAUUUUUGAGAGAGAGAGAGACAGAGCAUGAGCAGGGGAGGGGCAGAGAAGGAGGGAGACACAGAAUCCAAAGCAGGCUCCAGGCUCUGAACUAUCAGCACGGAGCCUGACACAGGGCUCAAACCCACGAACCAAGAGAUCAUGAUCUGAGUCGAAGCUGGAUGCUUAACCGACUGAGCCACCCAGGCACCCCUGAAAAGUAUUUUGCCUUUAAUCACACUCUUCUACUGGGAGAAAAAACAACUUUCAGAAUGUGAACAGAAAGGCACUCAGAGUUCAAUUAAGAGUCCCUCGUGUUUUCAUCACAUAGACAAUUUCAUUGUGUAUAUAAUUAUAUACAUACACACACACAUAAUGAAAAUGAGAAUAAGCUAAUCAGUAGGUUGUUUUUAAAAGUUGUGAAAAGCAGAAAAGAGACAAUGAAUAUAAAUGCAGAAACUCAAUUAGGUGCCAGAAAAAAUGGAACUGAUCAAUAAUCCAAGAACUGGUUCUCAUAUAAAACAACAAAAGUGAUGGAGUUUAAGAAAUCUGACAAGAAAAACAAAAGCUAAACAAAGGAAAGUAGAAAUACAAAAGGGAUAAAACCAGACACACUGAUGUUUCAAGUGCAAAUAAUAUACGCCACUGAAUUUGAAGGUGCAGGAUAAGGGGGAAAGUAAAAUACAAAAAUGGAGUCAAGCAGUAAAAAAGCUCCAAUCAUCAGAAAGCAAAAACAAACCUUUUCAUAGCCUUACCUCCCUGAAGAGUCCUUAUGACCGAGAAUUUAAAGUAAUUUCUCUCAGCUUUUCAAGAAACCAUCAAUUCUAAAGCCAUAUAAAGUGUUCCAGAACACACAAAGUUAUGGAAAGUUACUAAAUGAAUUUUAUGGGGCUAGUCCAACUCUGAGAUCAAAACAGCAAAGGCUACCUACCUCCUACUCCAGAGGAAAUGUCCAUCCAUACACAUUAGAUAGGAAAAGCCUAAACAAAACGAGGUUGUAAAAUCUAACGUGACCAAGACCAACUUAUUAUUAGGAAGUGUGUAAAUACCUAAAACCAACAUGAUCAACUAAAUGAAUGCUCCAAACACCCCAAUAAAAGUCAACACCUCUUCCUAUUAACACUCUAAAAGCCACAAAUCACAGAAUAAUCCACUUACAUAGUUUUCAAAGUAUCUCCCCAGCUAGUAAGUAGACAAUAAAAUUGAUGGUGAAAAAGUAAAAACAUUCCAAGUAAAACGAAGAAUCAAGUAAGACAGACCACCAGGGAAGUCUGACUAAUUCGAUAAGCCAUGAACCAGAACCAAGAGCAGUUAGAUAUAUCAAAACAAAAUAAAUAAAAGUUUAAAUGGAGGAAGAAAAAUCCCAUUUGCAACAGCAACAUCAAUAAUCAGCCCAUAAAUAAAUAAAACAAAACCUGAAACUAUCCGAAACGAACAUGCAAAAUGUCAGAUCCUAAAUGUAAAGAAAGUUACG